ACAGGUGAGGACACAGAAAGCACCGAAGAGGAAAUCCUUCUUCUGAGAGACGCCAGGACUGCAGCUGACUGGUGUAGCAAGAGAAACUGGGAUGGAAAAAUACAAUUUCCCAUUGUUCUUUCAAUGGAAAAGGAGCAACAAAUUGCAUCCCAAUGCAAAUUGCAGAGCUGGAUGGGUGAAUAUGACGAAAGUUCUCCAGCCGAACUGUUCACUUUUGUAUUUGGGAAACAAAAAGAUUAUGAGGUGUUCUGCACAGAAAUGGAUCAUAAAGCAAAGUACAAAAUCUUCGCCAGAUUUGAGGAAGAAUGAGUCAUCCUUCAGGAUCAUAAAUAAAAAAAUCAAUCAAUGAUAAAAAUACAU
Molecule: long non-coding RNA, 360 nt
Organism: Sinocyclocheilus rhinocerous
Lineage: Eukaryota; Metazoa; Chordata; Actinopteri; Cypriniformes; Cyprinidae
Exons: 2
Source: RefSeq, a predicted model, not a curated record